GACGAACGCUGGCGGCGUGCUUAACACAUGCAAGUCGAACGGAGAGGCCCUUCGGGGUACUCGAGUGGCGAACGGGUGAGUAACACGUGGGUGAUCUGCCCUGCACUUUGGGAUAAGCCUGGGAAACUGGGUCUAAUACCGAAUAGGACCACGCGCUUCAUGGUGUGUGGUGGAAAGCUUUUGCGGUGUGGGAUGGGCCCGCGGCCUAUCAGCUUGUUGGUGGGGUAAUGGCCUACCAAGGCGACGACGGGUAGCCGGCCUGAGAGGGUGACCGGCCACACUGGGACUGAGAUACGGCCCAGACUCCUACGGGAGACAGCAGUGGGGAAUAUUGCACAAUGGGCGCAAGCCUGAUGCAGCGACGCCGCGUGAGGGAUGACGGCCUUCGGGUUGUAAACCUCUUUCAAUAGGGACGAAGCGCAAGUGACGGUACCUAUAGAAGAAGCACCGGCCAACUACGUG
RNAcentral lists this ribosomal RNA (462 nucleotides) under uncultured bacterium. RNAcentral's name for it is "partial 16S ribosomal RNA". It matches the Rfam family "Bacterial small subunit ribosomal RNA", at positions 28 to 507 of the family's 1533-position model. The record is from RNAcentral.